This 759-nucleotide ribosomal RNA is filed under the name uncultured Proteus sp. Its description in RNAcentral is "bacterial SSU rRNA". It matches the Rfam family "Bacterial small subunit ribosomal RNA", at positions 28 to 776 of the family's 1533-position model. Lineage: Bacteria; Pseudomonadati; Pseudomonadota; Gammaproteobacteria; Enterobacterales; Morganellaceae. The record is from RNAcentral.
AUUGAACGCUGGCGGCAGGCCUAACACAUGCAAGUCGAGCGGUAACAGAAGAAAGCUUGCUUUCUUGCUGACGAGCGGCGGACGGGUGAGUAAUGUAUGGGGAUCUGCCCGAUAGAGGGGGAUAACUACUGGAAACGGUGGCUAAUACCGCAUGACGUCUACGGACCAAAGCAGGGGCUCUUCGGACCUUGCGCUAUCGGAUGAACCCAUAUGGGAUUAGCUAGUAGGUGAGGUAAUGGCUCACCUAGACAACGAUCUCUAGCUGGUCUGAGAGGAUGAUCAGCCACACUGGGACUGAGACAUGGCCCAGACUCCUACGGGAGGCAGCAGUGGGGAAUAUUGCACAAUGGGCGCAAGCCUGAUGCAGCCAUGCCGCGUGUAUGAAGAAGGCCUUAGGGUUGUAAAGUACUUUCAGCGGGGAGGAAGGUGAUAAAGUUAAUACCUUUAUCAAUUGACGUUACCCGCAGAAGAAGCACCGGCUAACUCCGUGCCAGCAGCCGCGGUAAUACGGAGGGUGCAAGCGUUAAUCGGAAUUACUGGGCGUAAAGCGCACGCAGGCGGUCAAUUAAGUCAGAUGUGAAAGCCCCGAGCUUAACUUGGGAAUUGCAUCUGAAACUGGUUGGCUAGAGUCUUGUAGAGGGGGGUAGAAUUCCACGUGUAGCGGUGAAAUGCGUAGAGAUGUGGAGGAAUACCGGUGGCGAAGGCGGCCCCCUGGACGAAGACUGACGCUCAGGUGCGAAAGCGUGGGGAGCAAACAGG